Molecule: non-coding RNA, 72 nt
Filed under: Tetraselmis striata
Lineage: Eukaryota; Viridiplantae; Chlorophyta; Chlorodendrophyceae; Chlorodendrales; Chlorodendraceae
Source: RNAcentral
GGUAGAUAGCCGGCGCCUGCCACCCGACACAGCCAAUGCGUAAGGGGCACAGAUCCGGGGCCGUCGGUUGCC